CGGGGUGUAGCUCAGCCCGGUAGAGUACGCGUCUGGGGGGCGCGUGGCCGCAAGUUCAAAUCUUGUCACCCCGA
This 74-nucleotide transfer RNA is filed under the name Lewinella sp. Its description in RNAcentral is "tRNA-Pro". It matches the Rfam family "tRNA". Rfam says of the family: Transfer RNA (tRNA) molecules are approximately 80 nucleotides in length. Their secondary structure includes four short double-helical elements and three loops (D, anti-codon, and T loops). Lineage: Bacteria; Pseudomonadati; Bacteroidota; Saprospiria; Saprospirales; Lewinellaceae. The record is from RNAcentral.